RNAcentral lists this unclassified non-coding RNA (374 nucleotides) under uncultured bacterium. Its description in RNAcentral is "contains 16S-23S intergenic spacer region". The record is from RNAcentral.
UCCGGCUUAUCACCGGCAGUCCCCUUAGAGUGCCCAACUAAAUGAUGGCAACUAAGGGCGAGGGUUGCACUCGUUGCGGGACUUAACCCAACAUCUCACGACACGAGCUGACGACAGCCAUGCACCACCUGUUACGGGCCCCGAAGGACACCGUAUCUCUACGGCUUUUCCCGUAAUGUCAAACCCAGGUAAGGUUCUGCGCGUUGCGUCGAAUUGAACCACAUGCUCCACCGCUUGUGCGGGCCCCCGUCAAUUCCUUUGAGUUUCAGCCUUGCGGCCGUACUCCCCAGGCGGGGCACUUACUGCGUUAGCGACGGCACCGGGAGGGUCGCUCCCCCCGACGCCUAGUGCCCAUCGUUUACGGCGUGGACUAC